Molecule: long non-coding RNA, 466 nt
Organism: Argiope bruennichi
Lineage: Eukaryota; Metazoa; Arthropoda; Arachnida; Araneae; Araneidae
Exons: 5
Source: RefSeq, a predicted model, not a curated record
GGGUAAAUAGGCAUCUAUGCAUUGUAAAGUUAUAAAGAAAUCCGAAGAAAAUUUUGCAGGCCCAUCUAUAUUGAUUAAUUCUACAAGAUUACAAAGACCGGAACUGAUUUUGAAAAUCAUUUCAAGCUGAUGAAAUUCAAAGAACUGCUUUAAGAAUUUCCAGCUGUAAAAUAGAAGAAAUUCAAUUACCAAAAGAAAAUUUAUGGACUCGCUAGUCAACAACUUGAAUUAUAAAAUAUGCAUUUUUGAAAAUUCGGCGUAGAAUGGAUUUGCCUUGUCUCGCAUCGAUUUUCACCGUCUGCAUGCAUGCGCCCUUCCAGUGUUCUGGAGACAUACCGAAUUGCUGAUCAGGCCGCGCCCGUGGGUUCGUCGUUGCUGUGCCUAAUUACCGGAUUUAGAACUCAAAUCAAUUAGGAAGAUGUUUAUGCUACGUAUUUUUAUCUCCAUCUACAUCCACAGAAGAGCG